AUGUUUUAAAAGAAAAAUUGUGUGUACAUACUGAAUUGAAAUCUUUUUUUUUCUUAAUGGCGGUCAGCUUUUAUGGGUGGAGUAAGACGGAGUGCCCGGAGAAAACCAUCGACCUUCGAUAGGAAAACUGACCUUGUUAAUUAAGACUGGAGUCGAGUGCACUCACACCAUGGAAGUACUGAUUGGUUAAUCGAAUUUUAGCAAAUCUACAUGGACGAAUUGAAUCCAUUCGGUACAUAAAUUGAGACCCGUGCCAUAUUGGCAAUGACAUAUGUUACAUAGUUACGAACACAAUUAUCGGUAUUAAGAAGCCUUACUUUAAAUGGAACAUUUGUUAGUUUAUCCCCAAUUAAAUAACAACAUAUGGAGUUAUUGUAUGCACAUUGUUGGCCUUCGGCUGUUGUCUGCUCUAUGGUCGGGUUGAUGUCGCUUUGACACAUUCCCCAUUUCCUUUCUAAAUUUUACAGUCUAUAUUAAAGCUUAUAUUCCUUUUUUAAUCAAUCGUUAGCUUUGUCUUAAAAACUGAAUUAAAUUUCCACAGUGGAGAAAUAAUGUCAGAGUUUGUUUAUUCGGC
RNAcentral lists this long non-coding RNA (574 nucleotides) under Mytilus galloprovincialis (Mediterranean mussel). Lineage: Eukaryota; Metazoa; Mollusca; Bivalvia; Mytilida; Mytilidae. The record is from RNAcentral.